AACGAACGCUGGCGGCAUGCCUAACACAUGCAAGUCGAACGAGACCUUCGGGUCUAGUGGCGCACGGGUGCGUAACGCGUGGGAACCUGCCCUUAGGUUCGGAAUAACUCCCCGAAAGGGGUGCUAAUACCGGAUAAUGUCUUCGGACCAAAGAUUUAUCGCCUUUGGAUGGGCCCGCGUUGGAUUAGCUAGUUGGUAGGGUAAAAGCCUACCAAGGCGACGAUCCAUAGCUGGUCUGAGAGGAUGAUCAGCCACACUGGGACUGAGACACGGCCCAGACCCCUCGGGGAGGCGGCGGUGGGAAGUAUUGAACAAGGGGCGAAGGCGUAACCCAGCAAGGCCGCGUGAGUGAUGAGGGCCUUGGGGUUGAAAAGCUCUUUUACCCGGGAGAAUAAGGACAGUCCCGGGAGAAUAAGCUCCGGCUAACUCCGUG
RNAcentral lists this ribosomal RNA (433 nucleotides) under uncultured bacterium. Its description in RNAcentral is "partial 16S ribosomal RNA". It matches the Rfam family "Bacterial small subunit ribosomal RNA", at positions 29 to 507 of the family's 1533-position model. The record is from RNAcentral.